RNAcentral lists this ribosomal RNA (579 nucleotides) under Geastrum fornicatum. Its description in RNAcentral is "eukaryotic LSU rRNA". The stretch from base 181 to 335 matches the Rfam family "5.8S ribosomal RNA". The record is from RNAcentral. Lineage: Eukaryota; Fungi; Basidiomycota; Agaricomycetes; Geastrales; Geastraceae.
CAUUACUGUAAGACAUAGGGUUUGAGACUGCGUCCUUAAACUGGCGUGUGCUCGACUCUUAAUUCUUUCAUCCACAUACACCUCUGUGCACCAUGGGACCGUAAAUGGUCCCCUUUUUUAUAUACAAAUACCAAGUUAUAUGCAUGUUUUUGUUAUACACACUCUACGGAGUUAAUGUACAACUUUCAACAACGGAUCUCUUGGCUUUCGCAUCGAUGAAGAACGCAGCGAACGUGCGAAACGUAAUGUGAAUUGCAGAAUUCAGUGAAUCAUCGAAUCUUUGAACGCAUCUUGCGCUCCUUGGUAUUCCGAGGAGCAUGCCUGUUUGAGUGUCGUGAAUAACUCAAUUUCAAAUCUUUUUUGUUUUGAAAAUUGGAUUUGGGUGUUGUCGUUUUGUGACGACUCAUCCCUAAAUGCAUUAGCGAUCUGCCCCGAUCACAUGCAAUGUGAUAAGAAAUAUAAAGCAUUGUUCAUGAUUGGAAAUCCAGAUAAGCUUCUAAUCGUCGAAAGACAAACUUUACUUAUGUCAUUUGACCUCAAAUCAGGCAGGACUACCCGCUGAACUUAAGCAUAUCAAUA